AACGAACGCUGGCGGCAUGCCUAACACAUGCAAGUCGAACGACACCUUCGGGUCUAGUGGCGCACGGGUACGUAACGCGUGGGAACCUGCCUUUAGGUUCGGAAUAACUCAGAGAAAUUUGCGCUAAUACCGGCCGAUGUCUUCGGACCAAAGAUUUAUCGCCUUUAGAUGGGCCCGCGUUGGCUUAGCUAGUUGGUGGGGUAAAGGCCUACCAAGGCGACGAUCCAUAGCUGGUCUGAGAGGAUGAUCAGCCACACUGGGACUGAGACACGGCCCAGACUCCUACGGGAGGCAGCAGUGGGGAAUAUAGGACAAUGGGCGAAAGCAUGAUCCAGCAAUGCCGCGUGAGUGAUGAAGGCCUUAGGGUUGUAAAGCUCUUUUACCCGAGAUGAUAAUGACAGUACCGGGAGAAUAAGCUCCGGCUAACUCCGUG
RNAcentral lists this ribosomal RNA (433 nucleotides) under uncultured bacterium. RNAcentral's name for it is "partial 16S ribosomal RNA". It matches the Rfam family "Bacterial small subunit ribosomal RNA", at positions 29 to 507 of the family's 1533-position model. The record is from RNAcentral.